AGUGAACGCUGGCGGUAGGCCUAACACAUGCAAGUCGAACGGCAGCACAGUAAGAGCUUGCUCUUACGGGUGGCGAGUGGCGGACGGGUGAGGAAUACAUCUGAAUCUACUUUUUCGUGGGGGAUAACGUAGGGAAACUUACGCUAAUACCGCAUACGACCUACGGGUGAAAGCAGGGGAUCUUCGGACCUUGCGCGAUUGAAUGAGCCGAUGUCGGAUUAGCUAGUUGGCGGGGUAAAGGCCCACCAAGGCGACGAUCCGUAGCUGGUCUGAGAGGAUGAUCAGCCACACUGGAACUGAGACACGGUCCAGACUCCUACGGGAGGCAGCAGUGGGGAAUAUUGGACAAUGGGCGCAAGCCUGAUCCAGCCAUACCGCGUGGGUGAAGAAGGCCUUCGGGUUGUAAAGCCCUUUUGUUGGGAAAGAAAAGCAGCGGGUUAAUACCCCGCUGUUCUGACGGUACCCAAAGAAUAAGCACCGGCUAACUUCGUG
Molecule: ribosomal RNA, 492 nt
Filed under: uncultured bacterium
Lineage: Bacteria
Description: partial 16S ribosomal RNA
Rfam family: Bacterial small subunit ribosomal RNA
Source: RNAcentral